UCCUAGUGGUUUAGAGACUGAGAGGUACAAAGACACACUGUCAAGGUGACAGGUAUCUUAGUGGUUUAGAGACUGAGAGGUACAGAGACACACUGUCAAGGUGACAGGUAUCCUAGUGGUUUAGAGACUGAGAGGUAUAGAGACACACUGUCAAGGUGACAGGUAUCCUAGUGGUUUAGAGACUGAGAGGUACAGAGACACACUGUCAAGGUGACAGGUAUCCUAGUGGUUUAGAGACUGAGAGGUAUAGAGACACACUGUCAAGGUGACAGGUAUCUUAGUGGUUUAGAGACUGAGAGGUAUAGAGACACACUGUCAAGGUGACAGGUAUCCUAGUGGUUUAGAGACUGAGAGGUACAGAGACACACUGUCAAGGUGACAGGUAUCCUAGUGGUUUAGAGACUGAGAGGUAUAGAGACACACUGUCAAGGUGACAGGUAUCUUAGUGGUUUAGAGACUGAGAGGUAUAGAGACACACUGUCAAGGUGACAGGUAUCCUAGUGGUUUAGAGACUGAGAGGUACAGAGACACACUGUCAAGGUGACAGGUAUCCUAGUGGUUUAGAGACUGAGAGGUAUAGAGACACACUGUCAAGGUGACAGGUAUCCUAGUGGUUUAGAGACUGAGAGGUACAGAGACACACUGUCAAGGUGACAGGUAUCCUAGUGGUUUAGAGACUGAGAGGUAUAGAGACACACUGUCAAGGUGACAGGUAUCUUAGUGGUUUAGAGACUGAGAGGUAUAGAGACACACUGUCAAGGUGACAGGUAUCCUAGUGGUUUAGAGACUGAGAGGUAUAGAGACACACUGUCAAGGUGACAGGUAUCCUAGUGGUUUAGAGACUGAGAGGUAUAGAGACACACUGUCAAGGUGACAGGUAUCCUAGUGGUUUAGAGACUGAGAGGUACAGAGACACACUGUCAAGGUGACAGGUAUCCUAGUGGUUUAGAGACUGAGAGGUAUAGAGACACACUGUCAAGGUGACAGGUAUCCUAGUGGUUUAGAGACUGAGAGGUACAGAGACACACUGUCAAGGUGACAGGUAUCCUAGUGGUUUAGAGACUGAGAGGUACAGAGACACACUGUCAAGGUGACAGGUAUCCUAGUGGUUUAGAGACUGAGAGGUAUAGAGACACACUGUCAAGGUGACAGGUAUCCUAGUGGUUUAGAGACUGAGAGGUACAGAGACACACUGUCAAGGUGACAGGUAUCCUAGUGGUUUAGAGACUGAGAGGUAUAGAGACACACUGUCAAGGUGACAGGUAUCCUAGUGGUUUAGAGACUGAGAGGUAUAGAGACACACUGUCAAGGUGACAGGUAUCCUAGUGGUUUAGAGACUGAGAGGUACAGAGACACACUGUCAAGGUGACAGGUAUCCUAGUGGUUUAGAGACUGAGAGGUAUAGAGACACACUGUCAAGGUGACAGGUAUCCUAGUGGUUUAGAGACUGAGAGGUACAGAGACACACUGUCAAGGUGACAGGUAUCCUAGUGGUUUAGAGACUGAGAGGUACAGAGACACACUGUCAAGGUGACAGGUAUCCUAGUGGUUUAGAGACUGAGAGGUAUAGAGACACACUGUCAAGGUGACAGGUAUCUUAGUGGUUUAGAGACUGAGAGGUACAGAGACACACUGUCAAGGUGACAGGUAUCCUAGUGGUUUAGAGACUGAGAGGUACAGAGACACACUGUCAAGGUGACAGGUAUCCUAGUGGUUUAGAGACUGAGAGGUACAGAGACACACUGUCAAGGUGACAGGUAUCCUAGUGGUUUAGAGACUGAGAGGUAGAGAGACACACUGUCAAGGUGACAGGUAUCUUAGUGGUUUAGAGACUGAGAGGUAUAGAGACACACUGUCAAGGUGACAGGUAUCCUAGUGGUUUAGAGACUGAGAGGUACAGAGACACACUGUCAAGGUGACAGGUAUC
Long non-coding RNA from Oncorhynchus keta (chum salmon), 1927 nucleotides. RefSeq lists it as uncharacterized. Lineage: Eukaryota; Metazoa; Chordata; Actinopteri; Salmoniformes; Salmonidae. The transcript is spliced from 4 exons. The record is from RefSeq and is a predicted model, not a curated record.